UAGCGGCGCGCUUAAUGCAUGCAAGUCGAGCGAUGAGGCCCUCUUCGGGGGGUACAUCAGCGGCAGACGGGUGAGUAACACGUAGGUGAUCUACCCCAGAGACGGGGAUAACGGGUGGAAACAUCCGCUAAUACCGGAUAGGCUUGUUCGGUCAAAGGGACAAGGAAAGGCUCCGGCGCUCUGGGAGGAGCCUGCGGCCCAUCAGCUAGUUGGCGGGGUAACGGCCCACCAAGGCAAAGACGGGUAGGGGGUGUGAGAGCAUGGCCCCCCACAAUGGGACUGGAACACGGCCCAUACUCCUACGGGAGGCAGCAGCAGGGAAUAUUGCACAAUGGACGGAAGUCUGAUGCAGCGACGCCGCGUGGAUGAAGAAGGCCCUCGGGUUGUAAAAUCCUUUACAGGGGGAAGAGGAAGGACGGUACCCCUGGAACAAGUGUCGGCUAACUACGUGCCAGCAGCCGCGGUAAGACGUAGGACACAAGCGUUAUCCGGAUUUACUGGGCGUAAAGCGUCUGCAGGCGGACAGGUAAGUUGGGCGUGAAAGCUCCGGGCCCAACCCGGAGAGGUCGUUCAAUACUGCGUGUCUAGAGGGUGUCAGAGGGGAGUGGAAUUUCCGGAGUGGCGGUAAAAUGCGCAGAGAUCGGAAAGAACACCAAUGGCGAAGGCAGCUCCCUGGGGCAACCCUGACGCUAAGAGACGAAAGCUAGGGGAGCGAACAGGAUUAGAGACCCUGGUAGUCCUAGCCCUAAACGAUGGAUGCUGGAUGUGGGGCCAUAGCGCUCCGUGUCGAAGCGAACGCGUUAAGCAUCCCGCCUGGGGACUACGGCCGCAAGGUUAAAACUCAAACGAAUUGACGGGACCCCGCACAAGCAUCGGAGCGUUGUGGUUUAAUUCGAUGCUACACGAAGAACCUUACCUGGGUUUGACAUCUAGGUGGUAGUGAAGCGAAAGCGGAGCGACCCUUCGGGGAGCUUAGACAGGUGCUGCAUGGCUGUCGUCAGCUCGUGCCGUGAGGUGUCGGGUUAAGUCCCGUAACGAGCGCAACCCUUGCCCUCCGUUAUACGUGUCAGAGGGGACUGCCGUCGGUAAGCCGGAGGAAGGUGGGGAUGACGUCAAGUCAGCAUGGCCUUUAUAUCCAGGGCUACACACACGCUACA
This 1157-nucleotide ribosomal RNA is filed under the name uncultured organism. Its description in RNAcentral is "bacterial SSU rRNA". It matches the Rfam family "Bacterial small subunit ribosomal RNA", at positions 37 to 1229 of the family's 1533-position model. The record is from RNAcentral.